GUGGGGAAUUUUGGACAAUGGGCGAAAGCCUGAUCCGGCAAUGCCGCGUGCAGGAUGAAGGCCCUCGGGUUGUAAACUGCUUUUGUACGAAACGAAAAGCCUGGGGCUAAUAUCCCCGGGUCAUGACGGUACCGUAAGAAUAAGCACCGGCUAACUACGUGCCAGCAGCCGCGGUAAUACGUAGGGUGCAAGCGUUAAUCGGAAUUACUGGGCGUAAAGCGUGCACAGGCGGUUUUGUAAGACAGUGGUGAAAUCCCCGGGCUCAACCUGGGAACUGCCAUUGUGACUGCAAGGCUAGAGUGCGGCAGAGGGGGAUGGAAUUCCGCGUGUAGCAGUGAAAUGCGUAGAUAUGCGGAGGAACACCGAUGGCGAAGGCAAUCCCCUGGGCCUGCACUGACGCUCAUGCACGAAAGCGUGGGGAGCAAACAGGAUUAGAAACCCCGGUAGUCC
RNAcentral lists this ribosomal RNA (450 nucleotides) under uncultured bacterium. RNAcentral's name for it is "partial 16S ribosomal RNA". It matches the Rfam family "Bacterial small subunit ribosomal RNA", at positions 354 to 796 of the family's 1533-position model. The record is from RNAcentral.